RNAcentral lists this ribosomal RNA (484 nucleotides) under uncultured bacterium. RNAcentral's name for it is "partial 16S ribosomal RNA". It matches the Rfam family "Bacterial small subunit ribosomal RNA", at positions 29 to 507 of the family's 1533-position model. The record is from RNAcentral.
AUUGAACGCUGGCGGCAUGCUUUACACAUGCAAGUCGAACGGCAGCGCGGGCUUCGGCCUGGCGGCGAGUGGCGAACGGGUGAGUAAUGCAUCGGAACGUGCCCAGUAGUGGGGGAUAGCCCGGCGAAAGCCGGAUUAAUACCGCAUACGACCUGAGGGUGAAAGCGGGGGACCGAAAGGCCUCGCGCUAUUGGAGCGGCCGAUGUCGGAUUAGCUAGUUGGUGGGGUAAAGGCGUACCAAGGCGACGAUCCGUAGCUGGUCUGAGAGGACGAACAGCCACACUGGGAAGGAGACACGGGCCCGACUCCUACGGGAGGGAGCAGGGGGGAAUAUUGGACAAUGGGGGCAAGCCUGAUCCAGCCAUGCCGCGGGGGGGAAGAAGGCCCUCGGGUUGGAAAGCCCUUUUUUUGGGGAAGAAAAGCAUCAGGGUAAUACCCCGGGGGGGUGACGGUAACCGAAGAAUAAGCACCGGCUAACUUCGUG